CUCCACGGUACCUAAGCAGAGGUGUGGGGGAAAGCAGGGAAGGGUUUCUAUGGCAAGCAAGAGCUAGACCUUCUGUCGUUAAGCGAGCAAGGGGGCCUUUUCAACGUUGUUCCAUAACUGUAUUGGAUUUGCUGCUCUAUGAGUGGCUGUUGGGUACCGUGUGAAUGAAACGAUCACAUGGGCAAGAGCCAAUUGCACUGCUUUUCCUUAUGGAAUCAGCAGCAUCCGCUCCCUGCUGCGGACAAGCCAUUUCCAUGUGGGCAAAGGAAAGUUUCAAGGGUCCCUGAAGGACCAUGGGCAGCAGGGUCUCCUAUGAGCACAGUGUGCCAAGUUUGUUAUUGUGUGACCAUAACUUACUCCCCCUUGGCUCACUCACUACUUCUCUCCGAGGAAAUACAAUCCCACCGCUGCCACCCAUGUUAUGGACUCCCUGCUUCAUUCACUCGGGUUUGGUUUCCUUUGGAUGAGAGAGCACUGACGAGUGAGGGGAAUCUCCACAUUUAGAGGCACUAUGAAUCCCAGAGCCAGGAGGCAACAUCAGGGGAAGGCCUCGGCCUCUAUGCUCAGAAGUUGACCGCCCAGAGGAAAUGGUCGAGGCCACUAUGUGAGACAAGAUGCUGGACUGGAUGCACUAUUGGUCUGAUCCAGCAGGGCUGUUCUUCUUAUGAUGAUUUAUGGCAUUUUUUGCAAUUCUGACUUUAUUUACAUAUAUGUGAGUCCUCCGAGAGAGGUUUCUUCAAGACUAUUUUGAAUCUAAGGCCAUGAUGCCAAAUUCUCUCUCAAAGUGACAUCUGAUAAGUUACAAGUAUAGCACUGAUAAAUAGCAGGUGUUUUUUUUUUCAACAGAUGGUUCUCACAACAAAAUAACAAAUCAAGAUAAUAAUUAAAUGAUGUAGAGCAUACAGUAUUUGAUUCACACAUUACAAAGUGCUCAGGUCUCACGUAUCCUGUCAAGAGACUUUUUGUGGGAGUUUUAUGCUUGGAACUUCAUGUCCAGUUGCAGACAGGUCUGAUUUGGAUCACAUUUGUGGCCUGUGGGGAGAGAAGGCUGAGGUUUUCUCUCUGUGCUGUUUUCCCAUCUUAGAACAGCCCUGGAAGAAUCUCUUUUGCCCUGUUGGGGAGACUGAAGUUCCUCCCAAGGGACAAAUACUGGGGCCCUGUAGACUGUGGUCCCAAUCCAAGUUAGGCCUGCAUGCACUCAGCAAUUAUAUUCUGAGCACAGUUUCAUAGGGUGGGUCUGCAGGCAAUAGCUAGAUUCAAGCCCAGUGUGUAAGUUUUUGAGAGUCAAAGUUCUUGUCAGGAACGGAGUUACCUCAGCUCUUAUAUCCAUCCUCCUCUAACUUUCUGACUGGGCUAUAAGAGGGAUCUCCGUUCCUCUUUGUAUCUGGCAAGGGGAGCUUUGACUCUCAAAAGCUUAUUCCCCAAAAAUCUUGGUGGUCUCUAACGGGCUGCUGGAGUGGAAUCUAGCUGUUCUGAGCACAGAAUUCAUAGAGCACAUCUGGUCAAUAGGACCCAUGGGGGACAGGAGGGCUUUGCAAUGUGUGAAUUGGCCCUGGCCCCUGCGAUUGUUCAUAACUUGUAGUCCGGGAAGAGCGAAUGUGUGUUUCAGAUGUGGUCUUGUGCUCUUUGGCCUUCUCUCACCACAAACUGUACAUGUAUAUUAUAAAAGGAAGUGUGUCUUCUAAAGAGGCAUAUAUACCUAUCUGGAAACAGAAGAAAUCCACCGCAGCGAUUGCAGACUGUAAACUCUCUGUAGCAAGAUCCAUUUGUGUACGUGCUCUCUCUGUCUGUACAUGAUCAUAGCCGUUAAACCUUUAUCCAUUUGCGAGCCCUUUUGAUAGCAAAUGUUUUUAUUUUGAAGCCUUGACAGUCCGGGAGACUGUGUUUAUAACUAUACCCAAGAUUCAGUAUUAUUUGUCUUCAUUUCUCUGUGUGAUAAGAUUUGUACAUGGUUAGUCUCCUGCUAUCAUUUUAAUAUGGAUAAUUUUAUUUUUUUUGCCAAGAUAGUUGUCUGGAGAGAGAGAAAAAAAAAGAUUGUAUAGACUGAACAGUAUUGGACUUCCAAAUAUUUUUGUGGUCAAAUAAAUCUGCUGUUGCCCCUUUAA
Long non-coding RNA from Heteronotia binoei (common prickly gecko), 2105 nucleotides. RefSeq lists it as uncharacterized. NCBI's taxonomy places the organism in Eukaryota, Metazoa, Chordata, Lepidosauria, Squamata, Gekkonidae. The record is from RefSeq and is a predicted model, not a curated record. The transcript has 2 exons.